Molecule: ribosomal RNA, 509 nt
Filed under: uncultured Glomus
Lineage: Eukaryota; Fungi; Glomeromycota; Glomeromycetes; Glomerales; Glomeraceae
Description: SSU rRNA
Rfam family: Eukaryotic small subunit ribosomal RNA
Source: RNAcentral
AGCAGCCGCGGUAAUUCCAGCUCCAAUAGCGUAUAUUAAAGUUGUUGCAGUUAAAAAGCUCGUAGUUGAAUUUCGGGAUCAGUUCGCUGGUCGUGCCUCUGGUAUGUACUGGUGUUACUGGUUCCUCCCUUCUGACGAACUGUCAUGUCAUUUAUUUGGUGUGGCAGGGAAUCAGGACUGUUACUUUGAAAAAAUUAGAGUGUUUAAAGCAGGCUCGCGCUUGAAUACAUUAGCAUGGAAUAAUGAAAUAGGACGUUCGAUCCUAUUUUGUUGGUUUCUAGGAUUGACGUAAUGAUUAAUAGGGAUAGUUGGGGGCAUUAGUAUUCAAUUGUCAGAGGUGAAAUUCUUGGAUUUAUUGAAGACUAACUACUGCGAAAGCAUUUGCCAAGGAUGUUUUCAUUAAUCAAGAACGAAAGUUAGGGGAUCGAAGACGAUCAGAUACCGUCGUAGUCUUAACCAUAAACUAUGCCGACUAGGGAUCGGAUGAUGUUAUUUUUAAUGACUCAUUC